Numida meleagris (helmeted guineafowl) is the source of this 2399-nucleotide long non-coding RNA. RefSeq lists it as uncharacterized. Lineage: Eukaryota; Metazoa; Chordata; Aves; Galliformes; Numididae. The transcript is spliced from 2 exons. The record is from RefSeq and is a predicted model, not a curated record.
UCAACCACCUCCCUGGGGAGCCUGUUCUGGUGCUUCACAACCCUUGCUGUAAAGAAGUUUUUUCUGAUAUCCAACCUAAACCUCGCCUGGUGCAACUUGAGGCCAUUUCCCCUUGUCCUGUCACAGGAAGCAGGGAAAUCCGUUACUUAAGAAGUUACACCUGAGAUAGUCUUAAGCAUUCUUAAUCCUAACUGAUACAUUCUGCCAACACCUUUUGCUGGAAUUGCUUUUAUAUGCUGCUUUCCUUCUUGUCCUAUGGUACAUCGUUUAGUUUUGAAAACUUGAAGAUCAGUAUUUGGUUUUAUUAAAGUUUUGUCAAAUAAAAAUGAGGUUGGGAUGUUUUAAAUUUGAAAUUGCAAUAGCAAAAUAAGGCGACAAUUACAACUUUUGCCUAAGGUUCUUUGCAAUUAGCAUUGGUCUUGUAACCAAUUUUUCUAGUUUUUAAAGGUUUUCUGUUUGCUUGUUUCCACUUCGGUCUGUGAAUAAUUACUCUGUGUCUACGCUAAGCCAGACCUGAACUAGAGAAAUGUAAUAAGAAUAUCAUUAUUAAGCAAGCUUUGUAUUGAUGAUGCAUUGAAUCAUAAACCUCGGCUUUCAGAGCUCUAAAUGUUAAUCUAAGUGAAUAUAAGAAAAUGCAAUCUCAUUUGCUGUGCAUUAAAUUUUUUUACUAUCAGCUAAUUUAAUUUAGGGAGAAUUUGGCUUGCUUUCUCUGACUGUGGCGAAGCAUCUAAAAUUAAAUUAAUAUCCCGAGCAGUGCAAAAUGAACAGUGGUAGUGAAAUCUUGCUAUGUGCACGUGCUGUUUCCCUGAGCCUUUAAAGCACAGUUUCUGGUCUCCUGGGACACAGCAUUCUCUGGGAUUAAAUGCUCCUGGAGGAAGCAGUUUAGAAACACAAAAUGCCAGGAAGCAGAUUCACACAGCAAUGAUCACAUAAUGAAGAUUCUAUUUGUGCUGUUUUUUUCCCUUUAUUUUUCACCCCUCCAAAAGCAAAGAACCUCUUUUAUUCAUAGGUUGAUUAAAGCCAUCUGAUGCAAGUGGCACAAUCUGCUGCUAGGAAAAAAAAGAGGACACAGAGGAAGAAGACUUCAUUUUGUAAGCACAUCCUCUGGUGCUACCUACUACCCAGGCCUUUGGGAGAUGAAAAAUGCCUAGAAAUUCUGGACAACAACAGCCACGGUACCUGACCCUAACAAUUCUACAAGGGAUGUGAAUCUCAUCAUAUCCUACAUACAUCAUGUGGGCACAUGUUGCUACAUGCAUUUAGACCUACUGUGUGACAUCUCACACUUCUGCUUUGGGAAUUGCACGGACGUAGCAAGGGCGCAAUUCUUCCCAACAAGAACGGGGAUGUGAACUACGGUAACUUCAGCUUAAUUCCUGAAUUUCUGUAUAAACUGCCUGUACAAAUUUUAGGUCCAUACAGGUCAUUGAUCUGAAGGAAAAUGUGCACCUUUACUUCAAAGUUAGAGCCCUCCAGUGCAGCUGUGAUUGAUGAGCAACUGAGGGGAGAAGACUUUUCUGGAGUAUUCAUCAGAAGAGAGAACAUACAUCUGUACACGGUACAAAAGUUCUUACGCUAAACUAUGUGCAUACAGAGAAGUAUUUCAUCCAGUUGAAGUCAGUCCCAGAGCAUCAGUGAUGGUGUCUGGGAAUUUGCUGAGGACUUUUUGUGGAAAACACUUGGCUUGGCUUUCGUGGAUUGUCCCCUAUAUACUGGACUUAUGUUUAUUCUUCAAUAACUGUUUGCUCUGUGCAGAAAGUUGUAAUUUAAAAACUUGUGACCUGUAGAUCUGCAGUACUUGCAGUUUUGCCUUUGCAGUCCGCAUUCAGAUACACUGGGGAAUAUAUGCAAAAUAUAUGCUGUGACAGGUCACAUCCUAAUGGCAGUUUCUGAGCAGCCCACUGUAGGCUUUGUGUCAGGUGAGAACAGAAUGAUGCAGUGCCUGAACUGUAAUCAUUCUGAGUGAGUAGCGCUCUGCACAUACAAAGAAAAUGCAUUCUCAUUAUUGUAGCGUUGUAAUUAGGAAUACCAGUACCUCGCUUUUCUCAUAACAACAGUGGAAGCUUUUAUGUCACCUUGCAAAGCUCAUAUGUCACUAAGUGAGGAGGGAUAAGAAUCUUGCUGAUUCUUUCAGAGAAUGAGUAGCCCAGAAAUGUGUUAACAAAUGUGACUGCUGCUACAAGAUUCCCUGGUAGCUGUACAGAAUUUAGAAAAUACCUUCAAAAUUAUGCUUCCUUUUUACUUUCAACUUAAAUCAGAUCUGGAUUGAUACAGCAAGUGAAUUUGUCAUGAUGCAACCUGGAAAAAAUUAACCUGAAGGUAUCUCAAUUUCUUGAUUUGCAUAGAACUUUGAACUGUAUCUCUGCAUGUUUGGCUAAUAAAGAACUUUGAAUCUGAAA